UUUUUUUUGCCUUUUUUUUAGUUUUUGCU
Molecule: small RNA, 29 nt
Filed under: Arabidopsis thaliana (thale cress)
Lineage: Eukaryota; Viridiplantae; Streptophyta; Magnoliopsida; Brassicales; Brassicaceae
Description: ATSL289070
Source: RNAcentral